Molecule: ribosomal RNA, 393 nt
Filed under: uncultured bacterium
Lineage: Bacteria
Description: partial 16S ribosomal RNA
Rfam family: Bacterial small subunit ribosomal RNA
Source: RNAcentral
AUACGGAAGGUCCGGGCGUUAUCCGGAUUUAUUGGGUUUAAAGGGAGCGCAGGCAGGUUAUUAAGCGUGACGUGAAAUGUAGCCGCUCAACGGCUGAACUGCGUCGCGAACUGGUAGUCUUGAGUGAGUACGACGCGGACGGAAUUCGUGGUGUAGCGGUGAAAUGCUUAGAUAUCACGAAGAACUCCGAUUGCGAAGGCAGUCCGCGAGUCCUUUACUGACGCUAAAGCUCGAAGGUGCGGGUAUCGAACAGGAUUAGAUACCCUGGUAGUCCGCACGGUAAACGAUGGAUGCCCGCUGUUGGCGAUACAUUGUCAGCGGCCAAGCGAAAGCGUUAAGCAUCCCACCUGGGGAGUACGCCGGCAACGGUGAAACUCAAAUGAAUUGGCGGGG